This 741-nucleotide ribosomal RNA is filed under the name Streptomyces violascens. RNAcentral's name for it is "bacterial SSU rRNA". It matches the Rfam family "Bacterial small subunit ribosomal RNA", at positions 32 to 790 of the family's 1533-position model. The record is from RNAcentral. Lineage: Bacteria; Bacillati; Actinomycetota; Actinomycetes; Kitasatosporales; Streptomycetaceae.
UGGGCUGGGGGCGUCCUUAAACAUGCAGUCGAACGAUGAACCGCUUUCGGGCGGGGAUUAGUGGCGAACGGGUGAGUAACACGUGGGCAAUCUGCCCUGCACUCUGGGACAAGCCCUGGAAACGGGGUCUAAUACCGGAUAUGACUGUCCAUCGCAUGGUGGAUGGUGUAAAGCUCCGGCGGUGCAGGAUGAGCCCGCGGCCUAUCAGCUUGUUGGUGAGGUAGUGGCUCACCAAGGCGACGACGGGUAGCCGGCCUGAGAGGGCGACCGGCCACACUGGGACUGAGACACGGCCCAGACUCCUACGGGAGGCAGCAGUGGGGAAUAUUGCACAAUGGGCGAAAGCCUGAUGCAGCGACGCCGCGUGAGGGAUGACGGCCUUCGGGUUGUAAACCUCUUUCAGCAGGGAAGAAGCGAAAGUGACGGUACCUGCAGAAGAAGCGCCGGCUAACUACGUGCCAGCAGCCGCGGUAAUACGUAGGGCGCAAGCGUUGUCCGGAAUUAUUGGGCGUAAAGAGCUCGUAGGCGGCUUGUCACGUCGGUUGUGAAAGCCCGGGGCUUAACCCCGGGUCUGCAGUCGAUACGGGCAGGCUAGAGUUCGGUAGGGGAGAUCGGAAUUCCUGGUGUAGCGGUGAAAUGCGCAGAUAUCAGGAGGAACACCGGUGGCGAAGGCGGAUCUCUGGGCCGAUACUGACGCUGAGGAGCGAAAGCGUGGGGAGCGAACAGGAUUAGAUACUCUGG